AAUAAAGUGGCUGAGUUAUAAGCGAUAAAUUGUAAAUUUAUUUACAAGAACUUUCUUCUUUAUUA
RNAcentral lists this transfer RNA (65 nucleotides) under Spilarctia alba. RNAcentral describes it as "tRNA-Tyr". The record is from RNAcentral. Lineage: Eukaryota; Metazoa; Arthropoda; Insecta; Lepidoptera; Erebidae.